Molecule: ribosomal RNA, 292 nt
Filed under: uncultured bacterium
Lineage: Bacteria
Description: partial 16S ribosomal RNA
Rfam family: Bacterial small subunit ribosomal RNA
Source: RNAcentral
GUGCCAGCAGCCGCGGUAAUACGUAGGGUGCAAGCGUUGUCCGGAAUUAUUGGGCGUAAAGAGCUCGUAGGCGGUUUGUCGCGUCGGCUGUGAAAACUCGGGGCUCAACCCCGAGCCUGCAGUCGAUACGGGCAGACUAGAGUGCGGUAGGGGAGACUGGAAUUCCUGGUGUAGCGGUGAAAUGCGCAGAUAUCAGGAGGAACACCGGUGGCGAAGGCGGGUCUCUGGGCCGUAACUGACGCUGAGGAGCGAAAGCGUGGGGAGCAAACAGGAUUAGAUACCCCCGUAGUCC